RNAcentral lists this ribosomal RNA (1293 nucleotides) under Pristimantis sp. QCAZ 46702. Its description in RNAcentral is "partial large subunit ribosomal RNA". The stretch from base 1 to 1112 matches the Rfam family "Bacterial large subunit ribosomal RNA", at positions 855 to 2925 of the family's 2925-position model. Lineage: Eukaryota; Metazoa; Chordata; Amphibia; Anura; Strabomantidae. The record is from RNAcentral.
UCUCAAGAAAAGAAUUUUAGUCCAACCUAAAGUAACAUUAAUUAUUAAACAUGACCUAUACUUUAGAGCAACUCAAAUAAGGUACAGCCUAUUUGACACAGGAUACAACCUUUAAUACCGGGUAACAAAUUUUCUACCACUAAGUAGGCUUAGAAGCAGCCACCUUUCAAAAAGCGUCAAAGCUUACAUCACAAUAAUUUACAAACCCCCAUGAACCCCUUUACCCCUAUUGAGAAGUUCUAUAAUCCUAUAGAACCUUUAAUGCUAAAACUAGUAACAAGAGGCCACCCCUCUCUAUGAUGUAAACUUAAGCCAGCAAGAACAUAUCACUGGCGUGUAACAGACCUAAACAAUAGUAAUAACUCUCCCCUAGAAAACACUACUUUAUCUACUGUUAACCUAACACAAGAACAUCCCAAGAAAGAUUAAAAGAGAAGGAAGGAAUUCGGCAAAUAUUAACCCCGCCUGUUUACCAAAAACAUCACCUCCUGUCCCCCCAUAAGAGGCCCAGCCUGCCCAGUGACUCUGUUCAACGGCCGCGGUAUCCUAACCGUGCAAAGGUAGCGUAAUCACUUGUCUUCUAAAUAAAGACUAGUAUGAAAGGCAUCACGAGGGUUAAACUGUCUCCCCCCUCUAAUCAGUGAACCUAAUCUCCCCGUGAAGAAGCGGGGAUAAUUACAUAAGACGAGAAGACCCUAUGGAGCUUUAAACAUUAUAACACGCGCCAAAACAUUCAACUACCCAGGUACCUCACCACAACGGCACUCUGAUUAUACGUUUUUGGUUGGGGUGACCGCGGAGAAUAGCUCAUCCUCCAUGAUGAAAGGGAUAAUCCCCUAAGCAAUAAAACACAACUUUAUGAAUCAAUAAAUUGACUUCCAUUGACCCAACACUUUGAUCAACGAACCAAGUUACCCUAGGGAUAACAGCGCAAUCCACUUUCAGAGCCCCUAUCGACAAGUGGGCUUACGACCUCGAUGUUGGAUCAGGGUAUCCCAGUGGUGCAGCCGCUACUAAAGGUUCGUUUGUUCAACGAUUAAAACCCCACGUGAUCUGAGUUCAGACCGGAGUAAUCCAGGUCAGUUUCUAUCUAUAAUAGAGCUCUUUUUAGUACGAAAGGACCAAAAUAGCAUGGCCAAUGUUAAAAUUAAGCCAUAGUUAGUUACUUUUGACCCACACUCAAAAAAUUACUUACCUCCCCAACUUCUUACAAGAAAAGAACAGUUAACGUAGCAUAACCAGGCUUUGCAAAAGACCUAAGCCCUUUUUAUAGAGGUCCAAAUCCUCUCGCUA